CCCCACUGAAGAAGAAGAAGAACGACGACGACUCACUGUUGUGCUGUCAAUAUGCUCACCUUUGUGUCCGUUUCAAAUGUAUUACUACAGGACGACUCCGAUCAAGUCUGAGGCCGGUAACAUCAACAGUGAGGACAAACCCAGCCUGCCUCUCUCCUUCCACACUGAGUCCAAACCUACAGUCACCCAGUCCUGAUUGUGACAGUGGAGCCCAGUUUGCACUGCAGGAUCCAGAGAUGGCAUCAGUGAAGCUGGAAGACUGCAGUCAAACACUGGAGCUGAAUGUCAACAUUAAAGAUGAAGAAGAGGAGGAGGAGAUUGGUACAUCUGUUUCUCAUGGGGACCUUGUUGAGACAUUCUCUACAUCCAGAGAGCAGCAGGAAGAUCCCAGACCUAAGAGGUCUCACCACUGCCCACAUUGUGAGGAAGUUUUCCCAUUUCUAUCAGGACUAAAAAUACACCUACAAAUACACACAGGAGAUAAUCCGUAUUCCCCCACUGACUAUGGGAAGAGAUUCACAACAUCACAUUCUCUGACAGUUCACCAGAGUGUGCACUCUGGAGAAAAGCCUUUCUCCUGCUCUGACUGUGGGAAGAGUUUCUCUCGACUGAGCCAUUUAAAAAGACACCAAAGUAUACAUAAAGGAGAGAAGCCUUUCUCCUGCUCUGACUGUGGGGAGAGUUUCGCUCAACUGGGGACUUUAAAAAAACACCAACGUAUUCACACAGGCGAGAAGCCUUACUUCUGUUCUGACUGUGGGAAGAAUUUCUCCCGAUUGGAUACCUUAAAAACACAUGAACGUAUACAUACAGGAGAGAAGCUUUACUCCUGCUCUUAUUGUGGCAAAUGCUUCACAACAUCAACUGAGCUAAAAGUUCAUCAGAGAACACACACCGGAGAGAAGCCUUACUCCUGUUCUGACUGUGGGGUGAGUUUCUCUCGACUGGGCCACUUAAAAACUCACGAAAGUAUACACACAGGGAGAAGCCUUACUACUGCUCUGACUGUGUGAAAUUCUUCACAACAUCAACUGAGCUAAAAGUUCAUCAGAGAACACACACAGGAGAGAAGCCCUACUCCUGCUCUGACUGCGGGGCGAGUUUUCGCAACUGGGCAACUUAAAAACACAUGAACGUAUACAUACAGGAGAGAAGCCUUAUUACUGCUCUGACUGUAGAAAAUGUUUUAAAACAUCAACUGGGCUAAAAGUUCAUCAAAGAACACACACAGGAGAGAAGCCUUACACCUGCUCUCACUGUGGUGUGAGUUUCUCUCGAUUGGGACACUUAAAAACACAUGAACGUAUACAUACAAGAGAGAAGCCUUAAACCAUGCUCUCUAUUGUGGGGCGAGUUUCUCUCGACUGGGCAACUUAAAAACCCAUACAAGUAUACACACAGGAGAGAAGCCUUAUUACUAGAGCUGUGGCAGCCAUGGCGUUGUGUCAGCCGGUGAUUGUCAUAUAAAUAAUUAUUUCUCAUGGUAAUUGACCGGUAAUUAACCUAAACAUGUUUAGCAUGUCUUGGCUUCCACACACAGCCUACAAGCCACUGAUGUGGACCUUUUGAAACAUCUACAUUGUAAAAAGUAUAAUAAAUCCAUGUAAUAUAGCCUACACCUUCACAAUAAAUCCAUUAUUUAUUUUAUACAGGUCUAAAAGAAACAUGAUAUAAAGAAAAUGUAGCCUAUUUCAGAAGAACAAAAUAGCAUAUUCUGAGUUGUCCUUACAGUACGUAAGGUCCUGAUCUGGCUUGGCCAUAUGGCUGUGGGCACCACUAGUUCAUUUAGCACACAAUUGAGCAUAGCUGAAAUAAGAAAAAAUAUUCCCCAAAGAAUUUCAGAGGAAGUGUGCACUAUUCUGUGUUAACAGGUCCUCCUAUAUGCUUGCUUUAGAUUUAUUUUUGCAACUUUAGUUGGGAUCUAAACAUAUGUUUAGAUUUUGAAUACAUUCUAAGGCUGCAUGGUGCAACUCUAAUGACGAUUUGAAAAAAAGUUGGAUGAAAGGCCUGCUUCUCUGCUCUGUUUCUUACGCAGGCUGCACACACUUCAUCAGUCUCUCAUUCACAGUUUGACAAACACUUGAUCAUAUUCUCAACCGUCAAGACUGUUCAUCAUUUAAUCUCGUCUUUACAUACAGCCUGUUAAUAUAUAUGUGUAGAAUUAUUUUUCAAUUAAAAAGUCAUCCGUAGCAUGUAGUCGAUUAGCGAAUGAAGGUUACGACGCGUUCAUAAGGUUAGAGGAAGCUAAAAGUUAAUUGAAAUAAAUUGACAAAAUUGUAUAGCCUAAUUAGCUUACUCCUGUCUAUGCAGAAAGAAAGACAAUCCUUCCAAAUAGGAUACUGAAGUAUGACUUGUCCUCAGAGGAUCUUCUUUAAAAUAUAAAUAAAUUGUAUAUAAAUUGCAUUGUAUUUAAAUUGCAUUGUCUACAGUCGGAAGGAAAGGCAGGAAA
Molecule: long non-coding RNA, 2449 nt
Organism: Oncorhynchus masou masou (cherry salmon)
Lineage: Eukaryota; Metazoa; Chordata; Actinopteri; Salmoniformes; Salmonidae
Exons: 3
Source: RefSeq, a predicted model, not a curated record